Molecule: long non-coding RNA, 4823 nt
Organism: Leucoraja erinaceus (little skate)
Lineage: Eukaryota; Metazoa; Chordata; Chondrichthyes; Rajiformes; Rajidae
Exons: 2
Source: RefSeq, a predicted model, not a curated record
UGAGCAGUAAAUCUCAAAGGACAAGCAGGGAGAGGUUAAUGAACUCAGUGAAACUGAUGAGCUGAAGUGUGGUUAUUUCAAAGCAAGGAAUAUCACGGACAUAGCGGAUGAACUUAAAGUCUGCAUUGGCGCAUGGAACGAUGAUAUUGUGGCCAGUAAGGAGAUUUGAUCGCGAGAGAAACUAAGUUGGCAGCUUAAUGGUCCAGUGUUUAGAUGUUUCGGAUGUAACAGAGAAAGAGGUAAAAGAGGUGGAGGAGUUGAUCACCAAUGAGGUAGAAUGUCUCCUCGGCACUCGGAAAAGCCAUGGUUGAGGCAAUGUGGGUUGAGCUCAAAAAUAAGAAUGAUGCAAUUGCUUCUCAAUAUCUUCCCGGGAAAUAGAGGAGCAGGUAUGUAGACAUGUGGAAAGGUGUAAAAGCAACAGAUUUAUUGUAGUUGGUGACUUUAACUUCCCCAAUAUUGACAGUGAUUUCCUUGCAUCUGGGAUGCAAAAGGCUUGGAUGGGAACUUGUUAGGUGUAACCAAGAGAGUUCUUAAAACAAUAUGUGGAUAGUCCAACUUGAGGAGGGAUCAUACAAGAUCCUGUACGGGGAACCUGGCAAGGUGACUUGUGUUUCAAUGGUAGAGUAUUUUGGGAAUAGUUAUCAUAACCAUAGAUGUUUAGAUAGUUAUGAAUAAGGAUAUGUCUGGACCUUUUGGGAAAGUAUUAAAUUGGAUUAGGGCAGAAUGUAACAUUAUUUGGCAAGUGCUAAGAGAGUAAAUUAGGAGCAGCUGUUAUUGAGUAAGUCCACAUCUGACAUGUGGGAGUUGUUUACGGACCAGCGACCAGCUGAUCUGAGUUCAGGACAGGCUUGUUCCAGUAAAGAUGAGGGAUAAGGAUGGUAAUGUAAGGGGACUGUGGAUGACAAGAGAGGUUCUACGUUUAGUCAAAAAUAAAAGGAAGCAUAUGUAAGGUUGAGGAAGAUGAAAUCAGACAGGGGCUUUGAGGAACAUAGAGCAAGGAGGAAAGAACUCAAGCAGGCAAUCAGAAGUGCCAAAAGGAGCCAUGAAAUGUCAUUGGCAAGUCAGAUUAAAAAAUCCCAAAGCAAAAGCAAUUUUACUUACAUGAAAAACAAGAGGUUAACUAGAAAGAGGGUAAGAUCACUCAAGGAUAAACGAGGGAGUUUAUGCCUGCAGUCAGAGGGUGUAGCUAAGGGGCAAAACACGUACUCUACAUUAUUAUUCACCAAGGAUAAAGAAGGGCAUGGAUGAUGGGUGUGGGGAAGAUUCAUUCAUGAGAACAGUUUGAGAUCAGGAAGCAGAUGGUGCUGGAUCUCUUGACAAGCAUUAAGGUGGAUAAAUCCCCAGGACUUGAUGGGUUUCAUCUCAGGUUAUUGAGAGAGGCAAGAGAAGAGAUUACAGGGACCUUGAUGAAGAUCUUUAAAACCUUUCUAGCCGCAGGGGAUCUGGUAUAUGGUAUGCUUGCCUUUAUCGGUCAAAGCAUUGAGUCUAAGAGUCAGGAAGUCAUGUUGAGACUUUUAAAAACUUUGAUAGGACUAUAUUUGAAGUAUUGUGUGCCAUUUUGGUUAUCCCAUUAGCAUGAAGUUGAUGCAAUAAUGGUGUUUAGGAGGCUUUUCGAUUGGCACAUGUAUCUGCAUGAAAUGGAGGGACAUGUGGGUUGAGGAGAUUUAUUUAACUUGGCAUCAUGUUCAGCGCAGACACUGUGUGCCGAAGGUCCUGUUCCUGUGCUGUACUGUUCAGUUUAAUUACCUGGCUUCAUCAUUGCUGAAAUGUUUUCAAUGUCUGAAUGAUUUACAAUUGUCUUAUUAUCAUGAUCACUUCAGCCUUGAUGUGGUGACAUGUUUGCCUUUGAGCCAUUUGAAUGAGUUGGUUCAAAUCGUUCUCUGGACCUUGGUAACAAGUAAUUAUAUAGGAGGUGUUGCCAUUUGGAUGUGACUUUAAUCUGUCAUCCCAGACACUUAAGUGAUGCAUUGGCAUUAUUGGAAGAAGAAUAGGGUUCUCUAAAUGUCUGGCCAACAUUUAUUCAUACAUGCAGACCACAUUUUACUUGAAGCACAUUGUCUACUAUGGGAGUUGGCAGUGUAGAAAUGUACUCUUGCGUUUGCCUAUCAGAAAAGCAAUAUACUUAAAAAAGUGAUUAACCAGCUGUGAACCACUUUAAAAUGGUUUGAGAUGUAAAAAGUUUUGCUUAAAUUAUACAACAACAAUCAUAUUCUUCUGAAUGCAAGCACGUAAUUGUUACGCAAGGAAUGGAAGGAUAUGGAUUACAUGUAGGCAGUGGAGAUUAGUUUAAAUUGGUAUGUUCAGCAUGGACAUCAUGGGCCAAAAGGCCUGUUGCUGUGAUGUAUAGUUCCACGUGGACACAGGAAACUGCGGCACAAAGUGCUGCAGUAAUCAGCGGGUCAGACAGCAUCUCCAGACAUGGAUAGCAGAUCAGAAACGUCACCUAUUCAUGUGCUCCAGAGAUGCUGCCUGGCCCGCUGAUUACUGCAGCACUUUGUGAUCUGUACUGUUACGUGGUUUCUGUGCUUCUAACAGAAGCAUGUGGAUGUUGCAGAGAUAUACCCCAUUUCCCCAAACAGUCAUUCAAAAUAUGAAAUAUGCUUAUAACCCAAUGGUAUGAACAUUGAAUUAUUUAAUUUUUGGUAGCAUUUCCCUCUCAGGAAUCAAAGCAGUCACCUCUGUGUGGAGCCACUGGAGAUGGGCAAGGUCCUCAAUGAGUAUUUCUCCUCUGUAUUUACCGAGGAGAAAGUCAGUCGGAUGGAGGAACUUGGGGCAUGUCCUCCAGAGAUGCUGCCUGACCCACUGAGAUACUCCAGCAAUUGGAGUUUUUUUUUUGGUAAACCAGCAUCUACAGUUCCUUGUGUCAACAUAUUAAGGUUGUUUUAUUAAUAUAAUGCAUAUUUGACCAGACCCGCCAAAAGGUGUGAAAUUUGAGUUCCUAUGUACUCUCCUUGUUUCCCGAACCUGUCAGUGUUCACUUGAGGCAUCAGACAGAAGGUGUAACACCAUGUCUUCAUGUCCCAUUUGAAUUCAGCAGUGAAUUUGUAGCCCACUUACUGUGGAGCAGAAUAAUGUUCACAUUCUGGAAAAGGAAUGUUGCUCAACAUUUUAAAAAUUGCACCCCACAUUCAGUCAGCCACAGCUGAUUUAGCAAUGGUUUUAAUUUUGGAAUGAGUGCAAGUUAGUGGUUAACAUAUAAGCACAAGGGUAAAAGAAGCAUCCUAAUCAUCUUGAGCUACGAAACUUCACCCGCAGCGACAGCAGCUGGGCUUCACGUUCGAUUUGGAAGGCAACGUUACAAGGACCAGUGGAAACAUCAAUCUAAAAGCCAGGCAAAUGUUGAAUAGAGCACAGGAAAUCUACCGUCUGUUGCAGAAUGCAUGAACCACCAUCUCUUCUGGGACACAACAUGUAGGAGUUGGAAAAUACCAGAAAAACUAGGCUUUAUUCCAAGACACAAACUACUGGGAAGGAAAGAACCAACAUUUCUAUGUAAAAUUAUUUAUAAUACCUUAAAGAGACAUGUGAACACCGAGUGAGUGUGAUAUUUUAUAACAACAAAACAAAAGCUGAGGUUGAGGCCUAGAACGGUCAAUUCUACUGCCAGAUCAUGGAGGUGUCCAUCAUCUCCAUGCAUUUCCCCAGCUACGGUUGGUAAAGUUGUUUCUCUUGGGGCCCAAUGACAGUAGUCAAGCAUCAGACAACUGUGAAUAACCUUCAAUACAACAACAAGCUGAGUUUCUUUAUAACCAUAUACUGGUGGGAACAGAUGGAUAAACAUUUAACAUUUCAACUGCAUGAUGGAGUCCCACUGCACAUGGACAUGUUGGAACAAUGCUGUGGACAGAAAGAAUUUGUGUGGAGUCCAGGGUUCAGUUCACCUUUAGAACAAACUUUUAUUAUAGUCUGAUGAAGAGUCCCCACCUGAAACGUCGCCUAUUCAUAUCUUCCAGGGAUGCUGCUUGAUCUGCUGACUUAUUCCAGCACUUUGUGUGAUAUGCAAGCCAAGGAGUUCCUUGUGUCUACUCGGUGUGCAUGCAACUCAUUGUGUCUACUCUUUAUUGCACGUGGACCAACUUGGAACACAUCUAUCCUUGGUCAGAUGUUUUCACAUCCAAAAUGAUAUUAUUUUUGUAAUAUUCGUUAUCUACUUUCCACCUGCUAUCUCUACCCUCUGUCAUCAGACCUCUGAAGGGUCCUUCAUAAACUAGGGUACAGUCCCUAUUUUCCAAACGACCUCAUUGCGGAAAUUUGACUUUGUCUCUGGAACUGUUACGUUACAAUGUUGAGAAACUAUAUUCUGCACUGGCAUCUUUCUCUUUGCUCUACGUUUUUACUUGUGUUUGGCUUAUAGUUUAUUCAUACAUAAUAAUAUCUGAUUUGACUGGAUAGCACACAAACAGUUUUUCACUGUACCUCAGUAUAUGUGGCAAUAAUAAACCUGAAGUUGUUUUUGCUGCCCAGUGCUCUGGAGUGCCGUAUGCUACAUACGCCAUAUGCAUCCCGUACAAUGAUGAAUUCCUGUCCCAGAAUCUGUGUGUGGUUGCUAUGGAGUAUCCGGGGAUCGGUUCGCUGUUGUUCACUUUUACCUUGCUACUGUUCACUGAGACUGCUAUUAUCCAGUUUCAAUCAAUUUUCAAUGAGGUCUAUUGCCCAACCUUUAGAAUCAUCCCACUUUCUGCCUUAUCACACUGUGUCCCUUUCCAGAUGCUGAGAUCCUCAUAUUGCUUAAGAUAUGGGAGGCUCUUCAGCCCAUCGGGUCUAUGCCGAGGCAGUUAGAAUAUUGAGCAAAAACCCACCAGGUCACAGAGAGAACAUGUAAA